Molecule: ribosomal RNA, 302 nt
Filed under: Escherichia coli
Lineage: Bacteria; Pseudomonadati; Pseudomonadota; Gammaproteobacteria; Enterobacterales; Enterobacteriaceae
Also listed under: 1 other name
Description: partial 23S ribosomal RNA
Rfam family: Bacterial large subunit ribosomal RNA
Source: RNAcentral
GUGGGCGCUGGAGAACUGAGGGGGGCUGCUCCUAGUACGAGAGGACCGGAGUGGACGCAUCACUGGUGUUCGGGUUGUCAUGCCAAUGGCACUGCCCGGUAGCUAAAUGCGGAAGAGAUAAGUGCUGAAAGCAUCUAAGCACGAAACUUGCCCCGAGAUGAGUUCUCCCUGACUCCUUGAGAGUCCUGAAGGAACGUUGAAGACGACGACGUUGAUAGGCCGGGUGUGUAAGCGCAGCGAUGCGUUGAGCUAACCGGUACUAAUGAACCGUGAGGCUUAACCUUACAACGCCGAAGGUGUUU